GCAGGGAGCUACUCUGCUUCUCACUCUUAUCCAAGCUAAUUUGAUUUGGUCAAAGAGCCAAACACAAAUGAACCCUUACUAAAAUAAACAUGUCUGGAUUCUUCUUUACAGGCCCCUGGCAGGAGCUACUCCCUUUCUCCACCAGCCAGAGUACAGUCCGCGGGCCAGAAGUCAGUUUCAACUUCUUCCUCGCCAAAGCCCCCAGCACUGGGCUCCACAACUCCCUCGGCAAGGCAGACAUCCUGGGUGGAAAAAAGCCAGAAGCCCCUCACACCAUGGGAGGCUGCCUCCCAGCAUCCCAUGGGCCUGGUAGAUGAAGCUUUUGCUUUCCAGAGCCUCCAGCAAACCCUUGCCUCGAAUGUGUGCUUGGCAGCCCAGCGCAAAAUCUUGCCUGAGCCGCCAGCAGAGUGGAAAGCCAGGGUUUCUUACCAAGCACCGCAGAAAACAGGCAGCCAGACUUGGAGCCAGAGCCAAAGCCGGAGCCUGAGUCGAGCUUCGCUCCCAUCGUUUGUGUCACCAGUAAGGAGCUCUAUCUCCACCCCAGUUAGUCAUGCCGGUUACAGGUCCCUGCCCAGACAGUGGCAGCCUCAGAAAUCUGCGACAGAGGCUAACCCGAGGCCCUCGGUGUCUUCAUUUGAGUCUAAGAGCCCUUUCGGAAAGCAAACUUACAAGUCUGUGUACACCAGCAACACUUGGAGCUGGAAGCGGUAGACUACAGUUCAGCCUGUGUGGUCUUUAAUGAGUCAAAUCUCAUUUAUUCUGAGUUUCAUAAUACAUUCACAUGCAGUCAGGCCAUUUUUAAAGAAAUAAAAAAACAACAGUUUGUUAGAAAGGGGAGAAAGUUAACUGUUAGAGAACCUUUUAAUACAUUCUAUUGUUAGAUAUUUGCAUGCCAAAAUUAAAUAAGAAAAGAUGUGGAGAAAAUGGAUGGCAAACACACUGAUGUGAAAGACUAGUUGAUUAGAUAAAGAGAUGAGUAUGUUGUUUAGAGUGGCUAGAGAGAGUGCAUCGAUAUCUUUGGUGGAAAAAGCAUUUGAUUGCAUAUGUGGACUUACCCGUGAUUGGAAAGAGAUCAAAAAAAAAAGACACCUGUCAUUUUGUAGGUUUUAAGUGAAGAUUGUUUCUUGAGUUGUUCUUGAGCUUGUGGAUUCCCAGUAAUCAGAGUUUGAUAUUUUGCUGUGGAUGCAUGCAUCUGCCAUGUUGGUUGCUACCAUGGGUGUACACGUUUCUUUUUUUUUUUCUUUUUUUGCUUGUUUUGCAAAAUCCAUCAAACGUGGAAACAGGAUUUGUGGUGUUCUCUAAUAAGAAAAUGAUUCAAGUGCUAGAAUGCAAUUACUUUGGGAAAAGGUGCCAUAACCUGUGAUGUUGUUGGUGCACACUACUUUUCAGUAAUGCACGGGUAUGUGGCCCUGGUUCUGCCAGAGGUUUCUUCCUGUUAAAAGGUAGCUUUCCCUUCCCAGUGUCACCAAGUGCUUGCUCAAAGAGAGUUGUUUGAUUGUUGGGAUUUUCUCUGUAUUAUUGUAGGGUCUUUACCUUUCAGUAUAAAGUGCUUUGGGGCAACUGUUUUUGUGAUUUGGCGCUAUAUCAAUAAAAUUGAAUUGAAUAGACAUUUCAACUGUCUAGCAUCACAUGCAUAACAGUAUAUACUGUAUAGGAGACAAUCAAAUGCAGUAUGUAAAAUGACUGACAAGUUUUUGUUGGGAGUGAAUUUCAUCGACCGCUUCGUACCAAUGAAUUCUAAUCAACACUACAAAAAAGGUUUUUGUUUAGUUUAUGAAAGGUUUACUGCUGCCAGGGUGAUUGCUUACACUGUGCAAUUGGCUUGUGGCUUAUUUCUGGUUUGGGCUUUUGCUAUCAACUUGUAAUCAUCUCCAAAUGUUAAAGCUGUGUUGGUGUUUCCGCAGAGUGCGCAUAAUGUCCUAAUGCGAUUCUCACUGAGCAACCUCAUAAAUGCAAAUAAGAUUUAUUACACAGUGUUGUGUUUUAUGCAGAUGUACUAUAGUGUAGCGUAACAAUCUCUGAUUGUUUUACUGUAUCACUUCCAUUCAAACAACACAUAUUAUGGUCGUAAUACAAUACCAGCAAUCCAUUUCUGUUCCAAGCAAAGAUAUAGAUUCAUGUAAAGCAUUCUAUAAAAUAAAUGCAGUAAAAUAUCACAAUUUAAGACGUUGCCCUUUUGUGCUCUUUCCUGUCUAUUCCCAGCUUGUGUUCUGGGCCAUUUGUUGCUUGCUGUGCCAUCCCGUGAAGCUUUUUGGAAGACGUGUUGUCUCAAAUGGUCACUCCAUAUACAGCACGGGGAGUCGAGAGGGAGGCCAGUUCCCAUGGUGACCAGAUGUUACAUAAUAACAGUGGGUACCUAGUAUAGCUGAGCCAUUAGAGAAUGAGAGAUAAGGGAACAGACGGAGCCGAUAAAAAGCAAGUAUUUCCCCACCAGUUUGGAUCUGGGAAACACUUUGCGGUUCAAAUGUUUUUUAAAGGGGUGAAGCCUGCUAAAGUGCAUAGCACACGUAAUUUUAUUGUCUUGAUGCAUGCUCAAUUAUCCAAGUAAGAAAGCCCCCAAAAGUUGAUUCUGUUCAGCUGGAUGUAACUCAUCCAAGUGACUUCUUCAGUCACGCUAUGUCCAGAUGAACAGAAUCAACUUUUUGGGACAUAACUUUAUUAUUAUUCUGUGUCCCAGGCAUAGCUUUCUGUUCACUAUGCAGUGCAGUUAUGCCACUCAGCUUGAUAUCCAAUCCCUGCUUUGCUAUGUGCUGCAAACUCAGCCUGCCUUCUUAAAAAACUGGGGGAAAAUGAGACUAUAUU
This is a long non-coding RNA of Oreochromis aureus, 2802 nucleotides long. Lineage: Eukaryota; Metazoa; Chordata; Actinopteri; Cichliformes; Cichlidae. The record is from Ensembl.